AGCACAUAGCAGCAUACUGUAAAGAAGUGACUAAGAAAAGGCUUUCCUGACAGCCAAAUGCAAAAUGUUCAUUAACAAUACAAGAGCAUCAUGAAGAAACUGAAGUCCCCAGUUGCCUCAGUUUACUAGGCACUGGUAAAUUUAGUGAAAGCCGAGAGUUAUCAGAUACUGAAACACACAUAAACACACACACACACACACACACACACACACACGCAUUCACACACACACCGGAGACCAGGUCAGAAUCAGACUAUCAUCUCAGGAAUAACUGA
This 275-nucleotide long non-coding RNA is filed under the name Chinchilla lanigera (long-tailed chinchilla). Its description in RNAcentral is "lncRNA (ENSCLAG00000028182.1)". The record is from RNAcentral. Lineage: Eukaryota; Metazoa; Chordata; Mammalia; Rodentia; Chinchillidae.